This 253-nucleotide ribosomal RNA is filed under the name uncultured bacterium. RNAcentral describes it as "partial 16S ribosomal RNA". It matches the Rfam family "Bacterial small subunit ribosomal RNA", at positions 524 to 776 of the family's 1533-position model. The record is from RNAcentral.
UACGUAGGGGGCAAGCGUUAUCCGGAUUUACUGGGUGUAAAGGGAGCGCAGACGGCAGUGCAAGUCUGGAGUGAGAGCCCGGGGCCCAACCCCGGAACUGCUCUGGAAACUGUGCGGCUAGAGUACUGGAGGGGCAGGCGGAAUUCCUAGUGUAGCGGUGAAAUGCGUAGAUAUUAGGAGGAACACCAGUGGCGAAGGCGGCCUGCUGGACAGUAACUGACGUUGAGGCUCGAAAGCGUGGGGAGCAAACAGG